GAUUUUUAGGGUUAUGGUCCCAAUAGUUAUGGAAUUAGGGACCAAAAAGGGUCCCAAAAAAAGCAUUUUUGUAGUUUUCAAACAAUAACUUGUGUUUAAGUUUAUGAAUCUCUCUGAAAUUAUGCCACAAGUUUCCAUACUAUAAAGGAAUAGUUAGUAUCGCUUUUUGGGGGUUAUGGUCCCAUUAAUUUAGGAAGUAGCGUCCAAAAGGGGGGGGGGGGUCCAAAAUAAGCAUUUUUGUAGUUUUCAAACAAUAACUUGUGUUUAAGUGUAUGAAUCUCUCUGAAAUUAUACCACAAGUUUCCAUACCAUGAAG
This 316-nucleotide long non-coding RNA is filed under the name Mytilus galloprovincialis (Mediterranean mussel). Lineage: Eukaryota; Metazoa; Mollusca; Bivalvia; Mytilida; Mytilidae. The record is from RNAcentral.